This 369-nucleotide long non-coding RNA is filed under the name Malus domestica (apple). Its description in RNAcentral is "long non-coding RNA (MDOM_LNC020105)". The record is from RNAcentral. Lineage: Eukaryota; Viridiplantae; Streptophyta; Magnoliopsida; Rosales; Rosaceae.
AAUAUGCGUCUAUCAAAUUCCCCCACACUUAGCUAUUGCUAGUCCUCGAGCAAAAUAAAACAAAUAAAACAUAAAAAAAAAAACAAAACGAAACCAAACAAACAAAAACAACCUAAACCUUCCAACGUUUGCCUUAGGGAUUUCCAAUGCACAUGACAUGUUAAAGAUUAUCAUUCCCACAGAAUUGAGUCAAUUUAACACUUAAGCACAUACUUAAUCAUAGUCACUACUUACUAAUUCACAAUUAACCAAUUAAAACAAUGUUUUGAAUAUAGUAACAUGCCUUAGAGAAUUUCCUCAAUCCUUACAAGAUAUGCACUCUAUUUUCACUCAGAUUUUCUAACUACACACCCUAUACUAGUUAUAUGU